This 207-nucleotide unclassified non-coding RNA is filed under the name plant metagenome. RNAcentral's name for it is "partial contains small subunit ribosomal RNA, internal transcribed spacer 1, and 5.8S ribosomal RNA". The record is from RNAcentral.
UUUCCGUAGGUGAACCUGCGGAAGGAUCAUUCAUAAUAAGUGUUUUAUGGCACUUUUUUAAAUCCAUAUCCACCUUGUGUGCAAUGUCAGGGUUGGUCUCUUUUGAUCAGCCGCAAACAUCAACUAUUAUCUCAACUCAUUGUCUGAAAAAUAUUAUGAGUAAAACAAUUCAAAAUACAACUUUCAACAACGGAUCUCUUGGCUCUC